AAACCAGCACCUCAAGUGGUCAGGAUGAUUAUUGGGCCUAAAGCAUCCGUAGCCGGCUCUGUAAGUUUUCGGUUAAAUCUGUACGCUCAACGUACAGGCUGCUGGGAAUACUGCAGAGCUAGGGAGUGGGAGAGGUAGACGGUACUCGGGAGGAAGUGGUAAAAUGCUUUGAUCUCUCGAUGACCACCUGUGGCGAAGGCGGUCUACCAGAACACGUCCGACGGUGAGGGAUGAAAGCUGGGGGAGCAAACCGGAUUAGAUACCCGAGUAGUCC
This 274-nucleotide ribosomal RNA is filed under the name uncultured bacterium. RNAcentral describes it as "partial 16S ribosomal RNA". It matches the Rfam family "Archaeal small subunit ribosomal RNA", at positions 473 to 747 of the family's 1478-position model. The record is from RNAcentral.